ACGUAAUAGAUACCCUGGUAGUCCACGCCCUAAACGAUGUCUACUAGUUGUUGGUGGAGUAAAAUCCAUGAGUAAACGCAGCUAAACGCGUGAAGUAGACCGCCUGGGGAGUACGGUCGCAAGAUUAAAACUCAAAUGAAUUGACGGGGGCCCGCACAAGCGGUGGAUUAUGUGGAUUAAUUCGAUGCAACGCGAAAACCUUACCUGGCCUUGACAUGUAACGAACUUUCCAGAGAUGGAUUGGUGCUCGAAAGAGAACGUUAACACAGGUGCUGCAUGGCUGUCGUCAGCUCGUGUCGUGAGAUGUUGGGUUAAGUCCCGCAACGAGCGCAACCCUUGCCAUUAAUUGCCAUCAUUUAGUUGGGCACUUUAAUGGGACUGCCGGUGACAAACCGGAGGAAGGUGGGGAUGACGUCAAGUCCUCAUGGCCCUUAUGGCCAGGGCUUCACACGUAAUACAAUGGUCGGUACAGAGAGUUGCCAACCCGCGAGGGGAGCCAAUCUCAGAAAGCCGAUCGUAGUCCGGAUUGUAGUCUGCAAC
RNAcentral lists this ribosomal RNA (540 nucleotides) under uncultured bacterium. RNAcentral's name for it is "bacterial SSU rRNA". It matches the Rfam family "Bacterial small subunit ribosomal RNA", at positions 774 to 1311 of the family's 1533-position model. The record is from RNAcentral.